AACUAACUAGGAUUCCCUCAGUAGCGGCGAGCGAAGAGGGAAGAGCCCAGCGCCGAAUCCCCGUCCGACGGGCGGGCGCGGGAAAUGUGGCGUACGGAAGAUCGCUUGCUCGGUGUCGCUCGGGGGCCUGAGUCCUUCUGAUCGAGGCUCAGCCCGUGGACGGUGUGAGGCCGGUAACGGCCCCCGUCGCGCCGGGGUCCGGUCUUCUCGGAGUCGGGUUGUUUGUGAAUGCAGCCCAAAGCGGGUGGUAAACUCCAUCUAAGGCUAAAUACCGGCACGAGACCGAUAGUUUACAAGUACCGUAAGGGAAAGUUGAAAAGAACUUUG
Molecule: ribosomal RNA, 327 nt
Filed under: Holocentrus rufus (longspine squirrelfish)
Lineage: Eukaryota; Metazoa; Chordata; Actinopteri; Holocentriformes; Holocentridae
Description: eukaryotic LSU rRNA
Rfam family: Eukaryotic large subunit ribosomal RNA
Source: RNAcentral